AGUGAACGCUGGCGGUAGGUCUAACACAUGCAAGUCGAACGGCAGCACAGUAAGAGCUUGCUCUUACGGGUGGCGAGUGGCGGACGGGUGAGGAAUACAUCGGAAUCUACUUUUUCGUGGGGGAUAACGUAGGGAAACUUACGCUAAUACCGCAUACGACCUACGGGUGAAAGCAGGGGAUCUUCGGACCUUGCGCGAUUGAAUGAGCCGAUGUCGGAUUAGCUAGUUGGCGGGGUAAAGGCCCACCAAGGCGACGAUUCGUAGCUGGUCUGAGAGGAUGAUCAGCCACACUGGAACUGAGACACGUUCCAGACUCCUACGGGAGGCAGCAGUGGGGAAUAUUGGACAAUGGGCGCAAGCCUGAUCCAGCCAUACCGCGUGGGUGAAGAAGGCCUUCGGGUUGUAAAGCCCUUUUGUUGGGAAAGAAAAGCAGCAGGUUAAUACCCCGCUGUUCUGACGGUACCCAAAGAAUAAGCACCGGCUAACUUCGUG
This 492-nucleotide ribosomal RNA is filed under the name uncultured bacterium. Its description in RNAcentral is "partial 16S ribosomal RNA". It matches the Rfam family "Bacterial small subunit ribosomal RNA", at positions 29 to 507 of the family's 1533-position model. The record is from RNAcentral.